Molecule: ribosomal RNA, 592 nt
Filed under: Debaryomyces sp.
Lineage: Eukaryota; Fungi; Ascomycota; Pichiomycetes; Serinales; Debaryomycetaceae
Description: partial large subunit ribosomal RNA
Rfam family: Eukaryotic large subunit ribosomal RNA
Source: RNAcentral
AGCGGAGGAAAAGAAACCAACAGGGAUUGCCUUAGUAACGGCGAGUGAAGCGGCAAAAGCUCAAAUUUGAAAUCUGGCACCUUCGGUGUCCGAGUUGUAAUUUGAAGAAGGCAACUUUGGAAUUGGCUCUUGUCUAUGUUCCUUGGAACAGGACGUCACAGAGGGUGAGAAUCCCGUGCGAUGAGAUGCCCAAUUCUAUGUAAAGUGCUUUCGAAGAGUCGAGUUGUUUGGGAAUGCAGCUCUAAGUGGGUGGUAAAUUCCAUCUAAAGCUAAAUAUUGGCGAGAGACCGAUAGCGAACAAGUACAGUGAUGGAAAGAUGAAAAGAACUUUGAAAAGAGAGUGAAAAAGUACGUGAAAUUGUUGAAAGGGAAGGGCUUGAGAUCAGACUUGGUAUUUUGCGAUCCUUUCCUUUUUGGUUGGGUUCCUCGCAGCUUACUGGGCCAGCAUCGGUUUGGAUGGUAGGAUAAUGACUAAGGAAUGUGGCACUGCUUCGGUGGUGUGUUAUAGCCUUGGUUGAUACUGCCUGUCUAGACCGAGGACUGCGUCUUUUGACUAGGAUGUUGGCAUAAUGAUCUUAAGCCACCCGUCUUG